GAAAGUAUGGCUCAGCAGUAGAGCAUCUGCCUAGCAAGCACAAGACUCUGAGUUCAAAAUCCAGUAGUAUAA
This 72-nucleotide transfer RNA is filed under the name Dipodomys ordii (Ord's kangaroo rat). It matches the Rfam family "tRNA". Rfam says of the family: Transfer RNA (tRNA) molecules are approximately 80 nucleotides in length. Their secondary structure includes four short double-helical elements and three loops (D, anti-codon, and T loops). Lineage: Eukaryota; Metazoa; Chordata; Mammalia; Rodentia; Heteromyidae. The record is from Rfam by way of RNAcentral.